This 207-nucleotide ribosomal RNA is filed under the name uncultured bacterium. RNAcentral's name for it is "partial 16S ribosomal RNA". It matches the Rfam family "Bacterial small subunit ribosomal RNA", at positions 568 to 774 of the family's 1533-position model. The record is from RNAcentral.
AGCGCAGGCGGGAAGACAAGUUGGAAGUGAAAACCAUGGGCUCAACCCAUGAAUUGCUUUCAAAACUGUUUUUCUUGAGUAGUGCAGAGGUAGGCGGAAUUCCCGGUGUAGCGGUGGAAUGCGUAGAUAUCGGGAGGAACACCGAUGGCGAAGGCAAUCCCCUGGGCCUGUACUGACGCUCAUGCACGAAAGCGUGGGGAGCAAACA